GAUGAACGCUGGCGGCGUGCCUCAAACAUGCAAGUCGAGCGGGGCUAUGUAAUAUCGCAAGGUAGAACAUAGCCUAGCGGCGAACGGGUGAGUAACACGUGGGUAACCUGCCUGGAAGACAGGGAUAACGAUUCGAAAGGGUCGCUAAUACCUGAUAAUAUCCUUUCAUCGCAUGGUGAUAGGAAGAAAGGGGAAACCCGCUUUCAGAUGGGCCCGCGUCCCAUCAGCUAGUUGGUAAGGUAAAGGCUUACCAAGGCGACGACGGGUAGCCGGUCUGAGAGGAUGUACGGCCACACUGGGACUGAGAUACCGGCCCAGACUCCUACGGGAGGCAGCAGUUGGGAAUCUUAGGCAAUGGACGAAAGUCUGACCUAGCGACGCCGCGUGAGGGAAGAAGGCCUUCGGGUUGUAAACCUCUGUCAUGGGGGAAGAAGUAAGUGACGGUACCCCAAGAGGAAGCCCCUGCUAACUACGUG
Molecule: ribosomal RNA, 476 nt
Filed under: uncultured bacterium
Lineage: Bacteria
Description: bacterial SSU rRNA
Rfam family: Bacterial small subunit ribosomal RNA
Source: RNAcentral